Molecule: long non-coding RNA, 823 nt
Filed under: Marmota monax (woodchuck)
Lineage: Eukaryota; Metazoa; Chordata; Mammalia; Rodentia; Sciuridae
Source: RNAcentral
UGAGUCCAAAGGUGGUGGGUCACCAGUCCCUGUCUUGUCUCACUAGGGAAAAAGUUGGGGAAAAAAGUUACAAGCAAACUGAAAUGGUGGUUAACCUAAACAAACAACACGGGGAGAAACCAUAGCAAACAACAAAUAGGACAAGACAAAAACACAAGAAAGUCACUCUCCUCCACAUAAUCUCAGCCUCCAGACCCUCCUCAGGAUCCACUUAUGGGAGCUCUGCUGGGUCUGGACCAAGGCCUCCUCAGGCUCAAGGUCACUUUAUACACCUUUGGGCUUUACAUUCAAGCACCUGAAACACUUGGAAAGAUUUACAAUCAAGUGCUGAUACACCCCCAGAGGAGCCCCUGACACACUUCAAAACAUUUACUAUCAGGCACUUGGAACCUCUGAGGCUUUACAAUUAAGAUAGAGCAAAUGAGGGACCUCCCAUCACAUGCACUUCCGUUGAAGCCAGAAUUAGGCAGUCAGUGUAGACAGGUAAAUCGAGUCAGGUUGAUCAAGGAGGCCAAUUUUGAGUGAGUCUGGGAAGUUGGAGACUGUCCCCUGAGGGAUCUUAUGUAGAACCUGCCCCUGCUCCAACCUGUUGCCAGGGUAACCUGUCCCAGGAAUUGCCCUCCCUCCAGAGAGCUCUAGGGUUGUUAAGGUGUCCUUGUCUCCUCCACCUGCCCUUCCCCCUUCAGCCCACCUGGUUCCCACUUGUUGGCCCUCCCACCCAGAACUCCUGGGCCUAGUCAUGUCCACAGGAAGGAGAAAGAUAAGGGGGGAAAAGGCAGGAAAACAAAGGAAUCCUGGGACAUAUAAAAAGGGAAGAACACCU